GACAGGAUGGUGUAGUGGUUAUCACGUUUGUCUUACAAGACCAGGCCUCAUAACUUGAGAUCUUUGCACACAAACGGUCGAGGGUUCGAUCCCCUCUCUUGUCA
Molecule: transfer RNA, 104 nt
Organism: Dacryopinax sp.
Lineage: Eukaryota; Fungi; Basidiomycota; Dacrymycetes; Dacrymycetales; Dacrymycetaceae
Rfam family: tRNA
About the family: Transfer RNA (tRNA) molecules are approximately 80 nucleotides in length.
Source: Rfam